RNAcentral lists this ribosomal RNA (254 nucleotides) under uncultured bacterium. RNAcentral describes it as "partial 16S ribosomal RNA". It matches the Rfam family "Bacterial small subunit ribosomal RNA", at positions 524 to 776 of the family's 1533-position model. The record is from RNAcentral.
UACGGGGGGGGCAAGCGUUGUUCGGAAUUACUGGGCGUAAAGGGCCAGUAGGCGGCCAACUAAGUCCGACGUGAAAUCCCAAGGCUUAACCUUGGAACUGCGUCGGAUACUGGAUGGCUUGAAUUCGGGAGAGGGAUGCAGAAUUCCAGGUGUAGCGGUGAAAUGCGUAGAUAUCUGGAGGAAUACCGGUGGCGAAGGCGGCAUCCUGGACCGGCAUUGACGCUGAUGAGCGAAAAGCUAGGGGAGCAACGGGG